Molecule: long non-coding RNA, 518 nt
Organism: Quercus robur (English oak)
Lineage: Eukaryota; Viridiplantae; Streptophyta; Magnoliopsida; Fagales; Fagaceae
Exons: 3
Source: RefSeq, a predicted model, not a curated record
CACCUCACUUUACUCCCUUUUCUCUUAAGGAAAGAGCUAGGAAGCUCCCUUGAGUCUUUCUCUCAAACUCCCUUGAGUCUUUCUUCUUCAUACUCUCUCAAACUCUCUACCUCUCAUACUUUCGGAUCCAGCCACUAAGAAAGGUAAAUCCUUUUAUGCAAGAGUGAUUCUAUGUCUAUUUCCGUCAAGAACCAGAAACUUGGUGGUACCAGUACCCAAGUCUAAACUCCUUCGACUUUAGGCUCUCAGUUCCUCUGCUUUCAGUUAACAGGUUUUAUUUUGGAGCAGAGGGAGCCUUAGUCGAGUUUUGGGAGGAGUUGGUUUUAGUUUUAAAAGUAUAGAUCCUGAAUUAGUAAUUUGAUGUUUAGCUUUGUAGUGUUGUGUAUUUUAGGAUCUAAUAAAAGUUGUGUACCUUAAAGUGUUAAGAGAUGUAUUAAGUGAAAGUGUGAAAUUUGAAUAAUUGGUGGAUUAUGUUAUUCUUUGAGUACAAUGUAGAUGCUCUGAAUGUCAAGUGAAAA